This 459-nucleotide ribosomal RNA is filed under the name uncultured bacterium. RNAcentral describes it as "partial 16S ribosomal RNA". It matches the Rfam family "Bacterial small subunit ribosomal RNA", at positions 338 to 795 of the family's 1533-position model. The record is from RNAcentral.
CCUACGGGUGGCAGCAGUGAGGAAUAUUGGUCAAUGGCCGAAAUGCUGAACCAGCCAAGUCGCGUGAGGGAAGACGGUCCUAUGGGUUGUAAACCGCUUUUGUCAGGGGGCAAAGUCACCCACGUGUGGGUGUUGGAGAGUACCUGACGAAAAAGCAUCGGCUAACUCCGUGCCAGCAGCCGCGGUAAUACGGAGGAUCCGAGCGUUAUCCGGUUUUAUUGGGUUUAAAGGGUGCGUAGGCGGUUUAUUAAGUCAGCGGUAAAAUCCUAGAGCUCCACUCCGGUCAGCCGUUGAAACUGAUGAACUUGAGUGGGCGAGCAGCAUGCGGAAUGUGUGGUGUAGCGGUGAAAUGCAUAGAUAUCACGCAGAACUCCGAUUGCGAAGGCAGCAUACCGGCGCCCGACUGACGCUGAAGCACGAAAGCGUGGGUAUCGAACAGGAUUAGAUACCCGGGUAGUC